RNAcentral lists this non-coding RNA (30 nucleotides) under Rattus norvegicus (Norway rat). Lineage: Eukaryota; Metazoa; Chordata; Mammalia; Rodentia; Muridae. The record is from RNAcentral.
UCACAGGGACUAUUGCGAAUGCUACCGAGU